GCUGAUGGGGAACAUCUGCAGUCAGCCCAGCCAGGAGGUCAGCUGAUUUGGCAGAAAGGUUCUUUGGCUGUGCUGCUAAAAGAAGCUCUUCUGAUACAUCUCUGCUGGUACAGUUUAUUUCAGAAGAAAAAGAGAAGAAAGAAGAAAAGUAUUUGGGCAAUUGGGAAAUCCUGGUGCUUCUAAGAGAUAAGAGGUUCUCCACUGCCAGAAGCCAUCAGAGCCACCUGUCAUGACUUUGAGUCAAGCAGUCAUGGCCAACAUUCCAGUAUUUUCUGAAGAUCUUGGAAAAUGUUAUAGCUUCACAAAAGAGAAGGUGGAAAAGCUGUCAAAGACACACACUGCUGCUUUUAUUUUGGUGAGUAGAACAAGAAGCCAGAGGCUAGCAGCUCCCAGAGGUACCACAACACAUACCUUACAGCUGCCACCUAUAUGAAUGUACUCACCAUGUGCUGAGAGAAAGAUGCAAUUAACUAACCACAGUUUCUGCCUAGAAGUAUUGCAAU
Pogoniulus pusillus (Red-fronted tinkerbird) is the source of this 503-nucleotide long non-coding RNA. RefSeq lists it as uncharacterized. Lineage: Eukaryota; Metazoa; Chordata; Aves; Piciformes; Lybiidae. The record is from RefSeq and is a predicted model, not a curated record. The transcript has 4 exons.